CAGUAGCCACGGUAAUACGGAGGGUGCAAGCGUUAAUCGGAAUUACUGGGCGUAAAGCGUGCGCAGGCGGUUCGUUAAGUCUGUUGUGAAAGCCCCGGGCUCAACCUGGGAAUGGCAAUGGAUACUGGCGAGCUAGAGUGUGUCAGAGGAUGGUGGAAUUCCCGGUGUAGCGGUGAAAUGCGUAGAGAUCGGGAGGAACAUCAGUGGCGAAGGCGGCCAUCUGGGACAACAAUGACGCUGAUGCACGAAAGCUAGGGGAGCAAACAGGAUUAGAUACCCGCGUAGUCCCUGUCUCUUAUAC
RNAcentral lists this ribosomal RNA (301 nucleotides) under uncultured bacterium. RNAcentral describes it as "partial 16S ribosomal RNA". It matches the Rfam family "Bacterial small subunit ribosomal RNA", at positions 509 to 807 of the family's 1533-position model. The record is from RNAcentral.